Phocoena sinus (vaquita) is the source of this 3417-nucleotide long non-coding RNA. The record is from Ensembl. NCBI's taxonomy places the organism in Eukaryota, Metazoa, Chordata, Mammalia, Artiodactyla, Phocoenidae.
GCGGUGCGGUGACGAGGCCCCGGCCCCAGGGUAGCCAGUUGAGCCCUCAAGUCAUUACCAGCUUUGAAGUAAGGGUUUUUCUUCCCUGCCCCUGCGCCCCGGGCGCCCGGACCCUUCCUGACAGCCGAAUGCCUGGUAACCCGAAUCCGGGGCCGGCCUGGCUUCCGGAGUGUGGGCACCCUCCCUCCCCAGCUUCACCGAAGCCGGCGUGUCUCCAAAGACAGCUCUUCCUCACUCACUUCAUAGUGCCUGGGUAUUUAAAGUCACCGUGGUGACCCAUCCCCUGGUCUGGGUUCCUUUCGUCCUCUCCUGAAUUUACUGCGCUAACGACACUCCUUCGUUCAACACACAUUGACUGGUUUCGCUCUUGGCUCAGAGAGCUGGAUCUCCCAGGCUACUGCUCUCCCAAGUGUCCCAAAGCCCCCGUCGCUGCCGCACCGCAGGACUAGUGAGCCCGCGCUGUCAAAAGGACGCCCAAAGAUUGCUGCCAGUGAGGACCGCAUUCGGGCUCUUGCCUGGAGUUCCGGUUCCCGGAAGAAGGACUGGGAGUUGAAAGGUUCCCCUUCAGGCCAGCGCUUCAUUGCGCGUUUGCAUCCGUCAGGACACAGGGCCCAGAAUCUUUCUAAAACGGACUGCCUCAGCCCUAACAACUCGACUGUGGAAGCACAUUAUCAAUUUUCGCUGCAGGACGGAAGUCGCGCCAUCGGAAUACAGCUACGUGGGUGAUUCCUAAAACCCUGGGAACCGUUUCUCAGGACCAUGGAUUGAGGCUGUUCUCUCCGUGUAAAUUUGCGCAGUAGAAAUGGACGGUUCAUUUGCUGAUCUGUCGGCAGCAGCCAAAAAAGCAAAAACAUUUAAGAAGGGAACUUGGAAGGUUAAAGCUGCCUUCCCGCAACAUCUUCCUACACAGCCUCAGCCUCCUCAUGAUCUGAAACCAGGAGAUUUCAUGUAUUGGAAGGGACACUGGAGAAAAACUACUCUUGAACUUCAUUGGAAGGGACUUCAUCAGCCCAUCUGGAAUUCUAGAAGGAGACAGACUCACUUGGAUCCCAUCUGGCAACACAGAGCAGCUGCUGCCGAAUAGGAAUGGAAUUGUGGCAGAUUUAAAGUGAGAAAGAAAAGGAGAUGGCACCGUGAUACUCCCUUGGCUCCUAUCCAGCAAGGAAGGAAUUCAUAAAUCUCUAUAUACUCCCUGUGAAAGAAUGUGGACGGUACUAGAAGUUGAGAGAGCCAGCAAGCUUGUAGGGGCCACUGUUGGGGGGGACUGGACAAUACUGCUGCAAGGGAUGUGAGGUGGUUUGCCAUUGGAACUGAUACAGGAUUUGUCUGAAAUUCAGAGGCUCCGUGAUGACAUUAAGAGCCAAAGGGGGGUCAGGUCAUCAAUGGAAAGACCCCAAAUCCUCACCAUGCCAAGAACACUAUAUUAGUUGCUGUGUAACAAACCAACUCAAAACUUAGCAACUUAAAACAGUAAGCAUUUAUUUAGCUUAUCAUUCUAUGGGUUGGCUGGGUGGUUCCUUGAAUUGGGCUGGCUCAACUUUUAUUGCUAGGCCCUUUCAGGAAGUAGGUUGACUGAUGGCUGAAUGAUCUAGGAUGGGCUCACUCACUGAGGUCAUCUAACAAUUCCUUUUAGUGAUUUUCUGUGCUUUUCCUUCACUACUUUUGUUCUCUCUCCACCAUUCUGAAAAUAAGCCAUAGUUGCAAUUUCAAGGCAUUUACAAAAACAUUUUUGAAUAUUUAUCAGUUAAUCAGCAAGCACAGUGAUGCUCCUAGGAAUAAUCUGCCUGGCAGUCUCCUUCUAACAUGAAUUUUCAACUUCUUUCCAUGUAUGACCUUAAAACUCAAACACACUACAGACUCUACAGUGUUUUUUAAGAUAAGCAUGGGUAGGAGACAGGGGCUGUCCACACUGACGUUUCAGUUAUUUGAAGCUCUCUUAUUUCUUUGCCAUACGAAAAAUGAGAAUGUAGCAUUAUUCCCAUGUGAUGGCCGUAUAUCAUACAGGAAGUCCUGCAAUUCAAUGAACCAAGCUCAAUUAAUAUUACUAGAAGGAAACCCUGUUUCAUUAACAAAGAGCCUCCCAGGGUUUACUGUACAAGGAGAGACAAUUCCUGGAGGACUGGGUGACGUUUUAGGCAUCAUUCCUAUUCCAUCACCAAAAUUUAUUUCCCAUAGGUGCUCAUGGCUGCAUCUAUCAUGUUGACCUCAGUAGAUUGCUACCCUUCCUCCAACAAACAUAUCCAAACAGGGAUACAAAUCCUUUCUUUGUGUCUCCAGAGGACACUCGAGAUAAGAUUUUUUUAAAAAUCAUUGACGAUCAGCGAGAAAUGGAAAUAAUAUAGAGAGUACCAUUAUUUGAGACCAGUGUUUCCCAAAUUUUGCUCCACAGAACAUUAACUUGGGGAACUAUUAGAAGAUGUUCCAUGAGAAAGAUGUUUUGUGGUUGAACAAAGUUGGGAAAUGGUAUACGCUAUACCUGCUCCAUAUAUACUAAAACAUAACAUGAGCAUAAUAAAGGCUCUGAGAAGUCCUGCAACAGACUUCUAGCUUUUCCUAAUCCAAUCAUUUUCAAGUUUAUGAAAGCACGGAACCCUUUAGUUUAGCACACAACCAAUAUUUUAUGGACAGCCUGCCUUACGAUACCAGUUUAGUCACCUGUACUGUACCUCAACCAUUACAAAUGGACCCCAUAAGGCAGAGAUUGUGCUGGAGUCUCUUCUUUCCCACAUCCCUCUUCAGCUUCUACAAAGUACAUGCUGUCCUCAGAGUUCAAGAUGAACUCCUCCAUGAAUAGACAAAGAGAAGGAGGUCAAGGCUUUCUCAUGACUACUUGAGCUCUGCACUUACAAUUCUUCUUUCUCUCUGAGACAUCUUUCCUUUUCAAGAUGAGUAGUACCUGGAAUCCAUUCUCACAAGACAGGAGAGAACUGUAGAACAGUUGUCAAGAGCAAGAACUCUGGAGUCUGACUCUACCCCAUCUUAACUUAAAAUCUCCAUGCUUCAGUUUUCUCAUGUAUAACAUAACAUGGUAAUAAUAGUAACUACUUCAUAGGAUGGUGUGAGUAUUACAUGGGUUAAAGCAUGUGAAAUACUUAAACAGGGUCUGGAAUAUAGGGUGUAUUCUGAGGUGUCAGUAGUUAUUCAUUUCGCUUAGAUCUGGCAGCCCUCAGAAGAAUAUCCCCAUCAGACGGCAAUGCUAAUUUCAAAUGCAUACAAAAGGGACACAUCUUGAGGAGCUAGGGAAUUGUUUUAUCCUGGUUGCAGAUAUUUUGACAGCAUGACUUUCUAUGUGGUACUACAAUAGUUAAUUGAUACAUUUUGCAUUUUCAUUUCUGUAUUUUAUAAUUACAAAAGUAACACGUUAUAACACUGGGAGCCUAUAAAACAUAAAGAGGCAUUAAAGGGAGAAAUGCACUC